AGUCGAGCGGUAGAGAGAAGCUUGCUUCUCUUGAGAGCGGCGGACGGGUGAGUAAUGCCUAGGAAUCUGCCUGGUAGUGGGGGAUAACGUUCGGAAACGGACGCUAAUACCGCAUACGUCCUACGGGAGAAAGCAGGGGACCUUCGGGCCUUGCGCUAUCAGAUGAGCCUAGGUCGGAUUAGCUAGUUGGUGGGGUAAUGGCUCACCAAGGCGACGAUCCGUAACUGGUCUGAGAGGAUGAUCAGUCACACUGGAACUGAGACACGGUCCAGACUCCUACGGGAGGCAGCAGUGGGGAAUAUUGGACAAUGGGCGAAAGCCUGAUCCAGCCAUGCCGCGUGUGUGAAGAAGGUCUUCGGAUUGUAAAGCACUUUAAGUUGGGAGGAAGGGUUGUAGAUUAAUACUCUGCAAUUUUGACGUUACCGACAGAAUAAGCACCGGCUAACUCUGUGCCAGCAGCCGCGGUAAUACAGAGGGUGCAAGCGUUAAUCGGAAUUACUGGGCGUAAAGCGCGCGUAGGUGGUUUGUUAAGUUGGAUGUGAAAUCCCCGGGCUCAACCUGGGAACUGCAUUCAAAACUGACUGACUAGAGUAUGGUAGAGGGUGGUGGAAUUUCCUGUGUAGCGGUGAAAUGCGUAGAUAUAGGAAGGAACACCAGUGGCGAAGGCGACCACCUGGACUAAUACUGACACUGAGGUGCGAAAGCGUGGGGAGCAAACAGGAUUAGAUACCCUGGUAGUCCACGCCGUAAACGAUGUCAACUAGCCGUUGGAAGCCUUGAGCUUUUAGUGGCGCAGCUAACGCAUUAAGUUGACCGCCUGGGGAGUACGGCCGCAA
Molecule: ribosomal RNA, 836 nt
Filed under: Pseudomonas azotoformans
Lineage: Bacteria; Pseudomonadati; Pseudomonadota; Gammaproteobacteria; Pseudomonadales; Pseudomonadaceae
Description: bacterial SSU rRNA
Rfam family: Bacterial small subunit ribosomal RNA
Source: RNAcentral